Astatotilapia calliptera (eastern happy) is the source of this 2549-nucleotide long non-coding RNA. NCBI's taxonomy places the organism in Eukaryota, Metazoa, Chordata, Actinopteri, Cichliformes, Cichlidae. The record is from Ensembl.
GUGAUAGGACUGAAGACCAAAGCCCAGCAUACAGGGAGCGAACAGAGAUGAAGCGCAACCCGCUAAGAACUGGAGACCUCAGUCUCAUCCUGAAAUACCCCACAAACAAGGACAGAGGCACCUACACCUGCACCGUCUACAACAAGGAGGGAGAAAAAAUCCUGAAUGACACACACGACACACACGUGGAGCUUAAAGUCAGAGUCCCCCAGGUGGAGGUGGAUUCAGGGGUGGAGUCUGUCCAGCUGAUCUGCAAAAUCAGAGUUCGUCUGAUAAAAAAAGACCCUAAAGUGGAGUGGACGGAGAACAACAAGAAGGUCCAUGUGUAUCAGAACGGCUCUGAACAGCCUGAAGAACAGCACCAGGAUUACAGAGACCGGACAGAGAUGAAUAAAGACCUGCUGAAAACUGGAGACCUCAGUCUGACCCUGAAAUACCCCACAGAGUGGGACACAAACACCUACACCUGCACCGUCUACAGCUGGGGGGAAAACAUCUUAAUGAAGAAACAAGUGGAGCUUAAAGUCAGAGUCUGUGAGGUGGAGCUGAAGAUGGGGGAGUCUGUCCAGCUGCCCUUCAAAACCACAGAAAAACUGCCUGAAGAUGCUAAAGUGGAGUGGAAGGACAGAUACAACAGGAAGGUUCAUGUGUAUCCAGAAGUGUCUGACCAGCCUAAAGAACAGGAUAAGGAUUAUAGAGAUCAAACAGAGAUGGAUGACUGCCCGCUGAAAACUGGAGAGCUCAGUCUGACUCUGAAAAACCCCACAGAGGGAAACAUUGGGAGAUACACAUGUUGCGUCUGGAGAAAGGGAGACAAAAUCAGAUCGAAAACAGUGAUGUUAAAAGUUCCUCGGGUGCCAUUGUCUAGAUAUUGAACUAUGGUUUUAUUAUAUUAAUUUCCUCUUUAUGAUAAGAUAGAAUGAACUUUAAUGUCCCCAUGUUUAAAUUUGGUGUGGACUCUAGGAUUGUCACAGAAUCUGCCUUUACAAAGUCAAUAGACAUUAAAAGAAAAGAGAAAUAGAUAACAGAUAAAUAAAAAAUAUAUAUAUAUAUGUAUAAAUUUAAAUAAAACCCAGAAGCUGUGCCUUGAUCAUCACAGAAACCUGGCUUCACCCAGGAGUACCUGAAGCUAGCGUGCAGCUAGCAGGCUGCACUGUGCUCCGCUGGGACAGGACAAAGGCAAGAGUGGGUGGGGGGAUUGUAUGCUCCCUCUAGGUGCGAUCUUUCAGAAAUACAAUAUCGCUUUUCACUGUUAUGCCGAUGAUAUAUAGAUCUACUUUGAACUAACUGAUGAUCUGUCUCUGCACUGUUUGUGUGAGGUCAAAGAAUGGCUCUUAGGAAACUCUCUUAUCUUAAAUGAUAAGAAAACGGAAGUCGUGGUAUUUGAUAGUAAUAUCCCUCGCGGCCAACUUCGUAAUGCCUUUGGUUCCCUUGCCAGUUCCAUCUCUGACACUGUUAGCAAUUUGGGCGUGUUGCUGGAUAGCUCUUAAAUUUGAUAAACAAGUGUCCACUGUAUAUAGAUCUAGCUUCUACCAACUGCAUUUCAUUUCUAAGGCUAGGCAUGCCCUCUGACUGGAACUGGGAGGUUUGCCUCUAUUAUCCCUGUUCUUGCUGAUCUGCACUGCACCCAUUAAAUACCGUAUCCAAUUUAAAAUAUUGUUGCUUACUUUUAAAAUUAUCAACAACACAGCGCCGAGCUACCUUAUCGAAUUCCUUAGAUUGUCCUUGUUAGAGCACUAAGAUCAUCUACUCAGGUAAUCUUGGUGCAGCCAAGAUUGUAGCAUCCAGUCGAACUGAGAAGGCCAGAACUGAUGGUUGUUGAAUGACCUUUAUUAUUCCUUGCCGUGUAUCAGACAACGAACCAACGUAAGAGCUAGACAAACAAAUAAAACAAUUACCAUAUUAUUCAUGUAACACUAUUUUAACCGCUCAUUACGCUGGUCUAACAGUUUUCUAUUAAACUAUAUAAUACAUAUUAUGCAUUUCAGAUUGCUCAAAUUAAAUCAUAUACAUUACAAACCUUGUUCCCCUGUCGACUGUAGCUAGAACCAUUCGUUUUUGUACAAUUUAACCAUAUUCUUCCCCUUUCUCAGUUAGCAUUAGUUUUCCGUUUUCUCCGUCUUUUUGUACAUCAAGUUGUUUACUGUUACAUCAUUCACUUCCGGUCACACAGGAAGUUACCAAAAUAAAAGCACAAACGUUAUAUUACGUGAAUAUGAACUAGCUUUACAUAUCCGCCGUUACAAAGAUCUUGGCUGAAAUCUAGAGGUGACCGUGCACCUGAUGUGUAGACUUAUUGUGUUUCUCUUUUAUACGUUUCUUUUAUGGCUUUUGUGCUUUUACCAUGUUUUUAUUUGAUAUGCAUUUCAUUGCUACUUAGGUAACUGUUUGUACAGUCAUUUGUAUAAAGAGUAAACAGGACUGGUGAACUAGCGCAGCAGUUUUUCUGGACCUUUGCUGCCCUAUUAUGGGUUUUUUUUUCUGAAUCUUUGGUUUUAUUUAGCCUUUUCUCUAUUUUUUUUCCCAAUGAGUCUUAGCUUUACACAGCC